RNAcentral lists this ribosomal RNA (498 nucleotides) under Triticum aestivum (bread wheat). Its description in RNAcentral is "partial small subunit ribosomal RNA". The record is from RNAcentral. Lineage: Eukaryota; Viridiplantae; Streptophyta; Magnoliopsida; Poales; Poaceae.
AUGUUGAGGUCGAUCAAUUUAACCGAGUUGCCAGAUAUGUUCCCGUGGAUGUUGACUACCAAUGGUCUCAUUACCAUGAAGUCCAUGUAUGCAGAUCUUAUGAAUUCUUUGUUUCACAUAAUGCACAUCUGGAAAACAAAAUUUGCUUCUAAAAUCAAAGUUUUCAUGAGUGUCUUGCAUAGGGGGGUAGUUCUUACCAAAGAUAGUCUUGCAAAAUGUAAUUGGCAGGGUAGCAAACAAUGUUGUUAUUGUAAUCAUGAGGAAACAUUUCAUCAUUUAUUACUAUCAUGUCUGCUCACUACAUUGAUUUGGCACACAAUUCACGUUCUUUCAAUUUAUCACCACCAACAAGUAUACCAUUUUUUUGGUAAUUGGCUAGGUGGUAUUCACCAUAAUCUGAAGGGCCAAAUCUACUUGGGAGUUUGUGUCAUCCUUUGGGAAAUUUGGAAUUGCCGGAAUGAGUGUGCUUUUCAUAUAUCAUGUAUUCCAAAUUUUUAA